UGAGGAAUAUUGGUCAAUGGGCGCAAGCCUGAACCAGCCAUGCCGCGUGCAGGAAGACGGUCCUAUGGAUUGUAAACUGCUUUUAUUUGGGAAUAAACCUCUUUACGUGUAGUGUGCUGAAUGUACCGAAGGAAUAAGGAUCGGCUAACUCCGUGCCAGCAGCCGCGGUAAUACGGAGGAUCCAAGCGUUAUCCGGAUUUAUUGGGUUUAAAGGGUCCGCAGGCGGUCUUAUAAGUCAGUGGUGAAAGCCUACAGCUCAACUGUAGAACUGCCAUUGAUACUGUAAGACUUGAAUUCGAUAGAAGUGGGCGGAAUAUGACAUGUAGCGGUGAAAUGCUUAGAUGUGUCAUAGAACACCGAUAGCGAAGGCAGCUCACUAGGUCUGGAUUGACGCUCAGGGACGAAAGCGUGGGGAGCAAACA
This 422-nucleotide ribosomal RNA is filed under the name uncultured bacterium. Its description in RNAcentral is "bacterial SSU rRNA". It matches the Rfam family "Bacterial small subunit ribosomal RNA", at positions 355 to 774 of the family's 1533-position model. The record is from RNAcentral.